RNAcentral lists this ribosomal RNA (379 nucleotides) under uncultured eukaryote. RNAcentral's name for it is "partial 18S ribosomal RNA". It matches the Rfam family "Eukaryotic small subunit ribosomal RNA", at positions 592 to 976 of the family's 1831-position model. The record is from RNAcentral.
CAAUAGCGUCUAUUAAAGUUGUUGCGGUCAAAAAGCUCGUAGUUGGAUUUCUGUUGAGAGCGACCGGUCCAUACCAUGUAUGCGUAUCUGGCUUGCUCUCGGCAUCCUCUCGAUAGACGUUACUGCGCUUGAUUGCGUGGUGCGGAUCUCGGGACUUUUACUUUGAGGAAAUUAGAGUGUUCACGGCAGGCUUUCGCCAGAAUACAUUAGCAUGGAAUAAUACUAUAGGAUCUUGGUUCUAUUUUGUUGGUUUCUAGAAUUGAGAUAAUGAUUAAUAGGGACAAUUGGGGGCAUUCGUAUCAACACGUCAGAGGUGGAAUUCUUGGAUUGUGUUGCGACGAACUACUGCGAAAGCAUUUGCCAAGUAUGUUUUCAUUGA